GGGCGGUUGGCGCAAUGGUAGCGCGUUGGUUUUCGGCACCAAAGGUUGUGGGUUCGAGCCCCAUGCUGCUCG
This 72-nucleotide transfer RNA is filed under the name Neofusicoccum parvum UCRNP2. RNAcentral describes it as "tRNA-Arg (TCG) (tRNA-Arg-TCG-1-1)". It matches the Rfam family "tRNA". From Rfam's summary of the family: Transfer RNA (tRNA) molecules are approximately 80 nucleotides in length. Their secondary structure includes four short double-helical elements and three loops (D, anti-codon, and T loops). Lineage: Eukaryota; Fungi; Ascomycota; Dothideomycetes; Botryosphaeriales; Botryosphaeriaceae. The record is from RNAcentral.